UGUAGCAUGGCAUAGUGGUUUGAGCACUGGACUAUGACUCUGGAGACCAGGGUUCGAAUCCCAGCUCAGCCA
RNAcentral lists this transfer RNA (72 nucleotides) under Phrynosoma platyrhinos (Desert horned lizard). RNAcentral's name for it is "tRNA-OTHER". The stretch from base 9 to 72 matches the Rfam family "tRNA". Rfam says of the family: Transfer RNA (tRNA) molecules are approximately 80 nucleotides in length. Their secondary structure includes four short double-helical elements and three loops (D, anti-codon, and T loops). Lineage: Eukaryota; Metazoa; Chordata; Lepidosauria; Squamata; Phrynosomatidae. The record is from RNAcentral.